AGAAUCAGGUACAUAGCAAAAAAAAAAGAAGAUGAAAGGGAAAAAAUUGUCAAAUCCAAAGCAAAGUUGUAAUAAAAUUAUUUUUUUGUCACGAUUUUAAUAAAAUUACCUUAGUGUCAAUCAAUGGGAUAGACUUCAAUUUUGGAUAAUUCACUAAAUCUUCCUUUUGGUAAGGUUCUCAUCUGUUCUCAAAGAUAACUUUUUCUUGUUUUCCUUCCAAUUUUCUUUUGUUUUUAACCUUUUUAGUUAUUAGAUACCGAUCGAAAACUUUGCGAAGGAGUUGCUCAAAGCGUAGACUCCGGAUGGAUUACGUCAAGAUGGGUUAAUCAUUACAUAUUAGCUGUCGUGAUCAUUGCAUUAUCAUAUACACUUUCAACUUUCAGGGGACGAUUCUGUUACAAAAAAAAAAACUUUCAGGGGACGAUCUUCCGUCUUGGUUUAUUCAAGACAAAUUGGCUUAAUUAUUUUAUUAUUUUCUUUCUGAUCUUCCCUUUUCCCUUUUCCCUAAAAUAAAUAAUAAUUGAUGCCUUAUGUAUUAUUACUUGCCGAUUUUUUGAUGCAUACAAACUAUAAAAGUGCUCAUCAGUUAUUGAAGGCUGACUUAACUUCCUUAGACCAUCUGCAAUGGGAGUACAUUGAGAAUCCUUAGCGUUUUAACCUAGGCAAAUAAGAGGAGAAUAAUAUUAUCUAAGCUAAAUAACCUAAGGAUCAAUCCUUAACUAAGGGAUUUAAGGAUUUGAUCCUUAGGACAGCUGGCAUGUGGGAUUGGUGUGGCUGAUGUUUUGUGUUUCGCGUUGGAGAAAAAAAAAAUUCAUUCUCCGGCAACCCUCCGCCUCACUCACUCGUCUUCUUCUUCAAGUCAUCUCCCUUGCAACCCAGUGAAAAAAGGCUCGAGCUUUAGUAAACAAUGGCUGCUUCUUUCCCAAACUUUAACUCUGACUCUGGAUUGAACAUCUCUUGACUCGCAGUUACAUCACUGGUUACCAGGCUUCAAAGGAUGACAUCGCUGUCUUUACAGCUCUUGCAAAGCCCCCAACUUCACAGUAUGUCAACGCAUCUCGUUGGUACAGCCACAUCGAUGCCCUCUUGAGGAUUUCUUUGUAAAGUAAGGACAGAUCACACAGAAUGAACAAAGAGAUUCAGAUAAUGCUGACCAAGCUAAGGAAUGAGAUGGAGGCUGCAGGGUACAAGUCCAUUUGUGAGUGAUGUAAUGGUUUUCAACAUGUAGCUAUGUAUUUCAUGAGUGCUAUUUGAUGUCAGGAAGUAAUUCGUUAUCUAUUUGUGUUACAGAACUCAGGAAGCUUCUCCAUUUGUUGCAUCAUGUUCAUUAUGUCAGAAUCUAUAGAGAAUUCCAAAUA
Long non-coding RNA from Raphanus sativus (radish), 1358 nucleotides. RefSeq lists it as uncharacterized. The transcript has 4 exons. NCBI's taxonomy places the organism in Eukaryota, Viridiplantae, Streptophyta, Magnoliopsida, Brassicales, Brassicaceae. The record is from RefSeq and is a predicted model, not a curated record.